This 634-nucleotide long non-coding RNA is filed under the name Capsella rubella. Its description in RNAcentral is "long non-coding RNA (CRUB_LNC004929)". Lineage: Eukaryota; Viridiplantae; Streptophyta; Magnoliopsida; Brassicales; Brassicaceae. The record is from RNAcentral.
UUUAAAGGAAACAUGAUUCAAUAGAUUAGAAUAAGAAAAAGGUUUAGAAAUCUUCUCUAAAUUGUCAAAGAGGAUCAAUAUCUAUCCCAAAUGUUGCUUACAAGUCUAAAACUCAGAAAAACUGCUGUGAAAAAAACGUAGAAUGAAAAACAAGUCUUUUUGGGUUUUAAUACCCAUUACAGAAGAAAAUAGAAGUUAACUCCGGUUAAGGAAACCGAAAUUGGAAUGGACCGAUCGGUCUAACAGAUGGACCAAUCGGUCUUUAGGCGCCGGAUCUUGUCCGGGUGAUAGGAUCGAUCGAUCCAAGGUGAGUACCGAUCGAUCUAUGUUCUCUGUUCAGAGCCGGGUAAACGGAUCGAUCGAUCCAUUGUGGGGACCGAUCGAUCGUUUUGUUUCUCGAAUGUGCCGUCCGGUCGGAUCGAUCGGUCUGGUGAUGGACCGAUCGGUCCAUGUUCUGCAUCAGCUAAAGUUCCACUUCCUUGCCCGAAACUGGUCCAAAACGCGUCAAUUCUGCUCCAACCGCUUAUCCCCUGCUCAAGACUCAAAACACGACUCGAAAGACACGAAAGACGGACUAAAAUACGAUAAACGACUCAAAAUGGACAUAAAAGAAAGGGUGAAAGACUCUAAAAAC